RNAcentral lists this ribosomal RNA (229 nucleotides) under uncultured bacterium. RNAcentral describes it as "partial 16S ribosomal RNA". It matches the Rfam family "Bacterial small subunit ribosomal RNA", at positions 568 to 796 of the family's 1533-position model. The record is from RNAcentral.
UGCGUAGGCGGCGCUAUAAGUCAGAGGUGAAAGGCCACAGCUUAACUGUGGGACUGCCUUUGAUACUGUAGUGCUUGAAUUAGGUUGAGGUCGGCGGAAUGUGACAUGUAGCGGUGAAAUGCUUAGAUAUGUCAUAGAACACCAAUUGCGAAGGCAGCUGACUAGACCUUAAUUGACGCUGAGGUACGAAAGCGUGGGGAGCGAACAGGAUUAGAUACCCUGGUAGUCC